AUGCAGAUGUACUUAUCUGAAAAAUAUUCAAGUAACAUUUUCAAUCUUUUUGUAUGGUCAUAUUUAUGUCUAAUUUUAUCGGAAUAUUGAUUGUAAUCUAUCAAAUGUUAUAUUUAGGCUGAAAAUUUAACCUCUAACACAAAGAAAACCUAUUCUCUAGUUCGGUAAAAACCUUGUUCUAAAACCAAUCCAUGGAGGGACGAUUUUGGGUCGUGUAAUCGUUGUUGCACUAUAUGCGGC
This 240-nucleotide long non-coding RNA is filed under the name Brassica napus (rape). Its description in RNAcentral is "long non-coding RNA (BNAP_LNC003978)". Lineage: Eukaryota; Viridiplantae; Streptophyta; Magnoliopsida; Brassicales; Brassicaceae. The record is from RNAcentral.